AGCAGUGGGGAAUUUUGGACAAUGGGCGCAAGCCUGAUCCAGCAAUGCCGCGUGAGUGAGGAAGGCCUUCGGGUUGUAAAGCUCUUUUGUCAGGGAAGAAACGGUGAGGGCUAAUAUCUCUUGCUAAUGACGGUACCUGAAGAAUAAGCACCGGCUAACUACGUGCCAGCAGCCGCGGUAAUACGUAGGGUGCAAGCGUUAAUCGGAAUUACUGGGCGUAAAGCGUGCGCAGGCGGUUUUGUAAGUUUGUCGUGAAAGCCCCGGGCUCAACCUGGGAAUUGCGAUGAAGACUGCAAGGCUUGAAUCUGGCAGAGGGGGGUAGAAUUCCACGUGUAGCAGUGAAAUGCGUAGAGAUGUGGAGGAACACCGAUGGCGAAGGCAGCCCCCUGGGUCAAGAUUGACGCUCAUG
This 409-nucleotide ribosomal RNA is filed under the name uncultured bacterium. Its description in RNAcentral is "bacterial SSU rRNA". It matches the Rfam family "Bacterial small subunit ribosomal RNA", at positions 350 to 751 of the family's 1533-position model. The record is from RNAcentral.